RNAcentral lists this long non-coding RNA (479 nucleotides) under Zonotrichia albicollis (white-throated sparrow). Its description in RNAcentral is "lncRNA (ENSZALG00000010853.1)". Lineage: Eukaryota; Metazoa; Chordata; Aves; Passeriformes; Passerellidae. The record is from RNAcentral.
UUAUAUAGAUAUAUAUAAUUAUAUAUAAUAUAAUAUUGUAAUUAAUAUAAUAUUUAUUAUAUAUAUAUCCACUUUUGAAUAUAUAUAUACCUACUUAUAUAUUUAUGUGCCUAUAUCUGUAGGUGGAUAAAUAGAGAUUCUAUGGAAUCUGGGAUCCCUGCAGGAGGAAGGUCCUGGAGAAAGGCAGGUUUAGCAGGGCUCUGGUACACAACUUCCUGCAGGAAGCAGAGGCAGCAGAGCACAGGAAACCCCAACACUACAAGAACUUCACUCCCUGCAAGGCCAGAACCCCACAAAGAUCCCCUGCCAUAAAAAAGGGCAUCUCCAGCUUGCAGAUUCCCCUCACAAACCUUUGUGCGUUUGGGCAGAGCAGGAUUUAUUCAUCCUAAACUCGGCUUCAAUCCUGCACCCCAGCAAAGCCCCAAACUCUCAGGGGUGGGGAUUGUCCGGUUUAUCUCGGCUGUUUGAGGGGCCUGGAA